Molecule: ribosomal RNA, 381 nt
Filed under: uncultured eukaryote
Lineage: Eukaryota
Description: SSU rRNA
Rfam family: Eukaryotic small subunit ribosomal RNA
Source: RNAcentral
AGCUCCAAUAGCGUAUAUUAAAGUUGUUGCGGUUAAAAAGCUCGUAGUUGGAUCUCAGCUCACGCUAAGUGGUCCACCUCAUGGUGGUUACUACUUAGCUGAGCAUUUUACAGAUUUGUCUCUUGAUGCUCUUCACCGAGUGUCAAGAGUGGUCUGUACGUUUACUUUGAAAAAAUUAGAGUGCUUAAAGCAGGCAACUCGCCCGAAUAAUCUUGCAUGGAAUAAUGGAAUAGGACCUUGGUUCUAUUUUGUUGGUCUCCGGAAUCUGAGGUAAUGAUUAAGAGGGACAGACGGGGGCAUUCGUAUUGCGCCGCUAGAGGUGAAAUUCUUGGACCGGCGCAAGACGAACUACAGCGAAAGCAUUUGCCAAGAAUGUUUUCA